AUGACAAGAUGGAUCUCAAGGUUUCCAGGCGAAGAAAAGUUAUACCAUAGGUUUGACUCAAUCGAGGAUGACUUGCAGAAUAAUUACACGAUUGAUUUACUGAACUCGAUCACACCAAAUGGCUUGCCUCCGCGUGUACUGAGAUUAAAGGCCAACUGUCCGGUCAUUCUGCUCCGGAACCUCGACCUUCAUAAUGGCCUAUACAAUGGAACACGGCUUAUGAUUAGAGCCUUCCAGGAUAAUGCAAUUGACGCAGAGAUUGUUGGUGGUCAGCAUCCUGGCAAGAGGGUGUUCAUACCUAGGGUCCCUAUGUCACCCUCGGAGGACAUCUCACUUCCUUUCAAACUGAAGAGAAAACAGUUUCCCAUCGGCCUGAGUUUUGCAAUGACAAUUAACAAGGCGCAGGGUCAGACCAUCCCAAACGUCGGAAUUUACCUUCCUGAGCCAGUAUUCUCACAUGGCCAGCUCUAUGUUGCAUUGUCAAGGGGAGUGUCGAGAGAGACAACACGGAUUUUGGCCAAGCCAAACCAGGAGGUUGAUAAAUCCGGGAAAAGUACCAAGAACAUUGUCUACAGAGAUGUUUUAGACAGAUGA
RNAcentral lists this ribosomal RNA (594 nucleotides) under Triticum aestivum (bread wheat). Its description in RNAcentral is "partial small subunit ribosomal RNA". Lineage: Eukaryota; Viridiplantae; Streptophyta; Magnoliopsida; Poales; Poaceae. The record is from RNAcentral.